CGGGGGUGAGUGCAUGAUGGGCACAGAGUCUCUUUUGGGGUGAUGAAAAGGUUUUGAAACUGGAAAAAGUUGAUGCUUACACAACAUUGUGAAUUAUUAAAUGUGGCUAAAUUGUACACUUUCAAAUGGUUAAAAUAGUAACUUUUAUGUUGUGUGUAUUUUACUAUGAUUAACCUGCCUAGGUGAUUCAUUGUGGGGACAAUUUUGAGAACCACUGAAUUAGAGCAUUCAUUUAUGCUUAACUCUGCUGUGGAGACCUGAAGAAAUGUCAAAUUCCUGUUUGAGAUAAUCAUUACAACUGGCUGGCGUCAAUGAGUUUACUGUAUCAUGUCAUUUCCAAUGGUUCCAAACUUCUGUUUUGAAUUUGCAUAUAAUGAAAUUCACUCUUCUCAGGAAGAAUUUCUGCAAGUUCUGACAAACACAGAGUCUGUGUUUGGAAAACGCAUGUGUGAAUUCCAUCCCUGCCCAUUUCCCCUGAGCUGUCUCCGUGGCCAUACACUUCCUUGGUCUGACUCGUUUUCUCUCUCUACAGUUUUGUCUUUUCCAGAACAGCAGGCAACUGAUCCAUGGAUGCUUUUGGUGGUCACACUUGGAGCACAACCUGCAACCAGGACACAAGUCUGGAGGGAGUGACGGCCCUCACUGCUUUGGACAGGCAAUGACAGGUCCACAGGGAAACUGCUUGGCUGCUCAUAAUCAGAUCGAGUGCAUUACAACUACGAUGGAUCCCUGUGCUGAACUCAUGUGGUGCUUGGGUUUAUGGAACAGAAAUGUAAUUGAAACACCGCGAGUGCAGGAGGCACAGUCGUCUCUAGUGGAAAAGUGCAGGAAUCCUCUGGUCUCUGGGCUGCACAAGACUUCCUUCUAUCUGUAAGUCCCCAAUAAACUGCAUUUGUGCAAU
Heterocephalus glaber (naked mole-rat) is the source of this 901-nucleotide long non-coding RNA. The record is from Ensembl. Lineage: Eukaryota; Metazoa; Chordata; Mammalia; Rodentia; Bathyergidae.